This 69-nucleotide transfer RNA is filed under the name Omphalius nigerrimus. RNAcentral's name for it is "tRNA-Asn". Lineage: Eukaryota; Metazoa; Mollusca; Gastropoda; Trochida; Tegulidae. The record is from RNAcentral.
UAAGCAAAAGCCAAUUUUGGGCGCCUAACUGUUAAUUAGGAAGCUGUAAUACUUAUUUUACUUGCUUAG